Molecule: ribosomal RNA, 253 nt
Filed under: uncultured bacterium
Lineage: Bacteria
Description: partial 16S ribosomal RNA
Rfam family: Bacterial small subunit ribosomal RNA
Source: RNAcentral
UACGGGGGGGGCAAGCGUUGUUCGGAAUUACUGGGCGUAAAGGGCUCGUAGGCGGCCAACUAAGUCAGACGUGAAAUCCCCAGGCUUAACCUGGGAACUGCGUCUGAUACUGGAUGGCUUGAAUUCGGGAGAGGGAUGCAGAACUCCAGGUGUAGCGGUGAAAUGCGUAGAUAUCUGGAGGAAUACCGGUGGCGAAGGCGGCAUCCUGGACCGACAUUGACGCUGAGGCUCGAAAGCGUGGGGAGCAAACAGG